Molecule: ribosomal RNA, 467 nt
Filed under: uncultured bacterium
Lineage: Bacteria
Description: partial 16S ribosomal RNA
Rfam family: Bacterial small subunit ribosomal RNA
Source: RNAcentral
GACGAACGCUGGCGGCGUGCUUAACACAUGCAAGUCGAACGAUGACGACCGAGCUUGCUCGGUCUGAUUAGUGGCGAACGGGUGAGUAACACGUAAGCAACCUGCCCUUCACUCUGGGAUAACCUCGGGAAAUCGGGGCUAAUACCGGAUAUGAGCUCCUGUCGCAUGGCGGGUGUUGGAAAGUUUUUCGGUGAAGGAUGGGCUCGCGGCCUAUCAGUUUGUUGGUGAGGUAGUGGCUCACCAAGGCGAUGACGGGUAGCCGGCCUGAGAGGGCGACCGGCCACACUGGGACUGAGACACGGCCCAGACUCCUACGGGAGGCAGCAGUGGGGAAUAUUGCACAAUGGGCGAAAGCCUGAUGCAGCGACGCCGCGUGAGGGAUGACGGCCUUCGGGUUGUAAACCUCUUUCAGCAGGGAAGAAGCGAAAGUGACGGUACCUGCAGAAGAAGCGCCGGCUAACUACGUG